AGUGUACUCAGUGUGGAAAAGACU
RNAcentral lists this non-coding RNA (24 nucleotides) under Cricetulus griseus (Chinese hamster). The record is from RNAcentral. Lineage: Eukaryota; Metazoa; Chordata; Mammalia; Rodentia; Cricetidae.